This 497-nucleotide ribosomal RNA is filed under the name uncultured bacterium. RNAcentral describes it as "partial 16S ribosomal RNA". It matches the Rfam family "Bacterial small subunit ribosomal RNA", at positions 28 to 507 of the family's 1533-position model. The record is from RNAcentral.
GAUGAACGCUGGCGGCGUGCCUAAUACAUGCAAGUCGAGCGAACGGACGAGAAGCUUGCUUCUCUGAUGUUAGCGGCGGACGGGUGAGUAACACGUGGAUAACCUACCUAUAAGACUGGGAUAACUUCGGGAAACCGGAGCUAAUACCGGAUAAUAUUUUGAACCGCAUGGUUCAAAAGUGAAAGACGGUCUUGCUGUCACUUAUAGAUGGAUCCGCGCUGCAUUAGCUAGUUGGUAAGGUAACGGCUUACCAAGGCAACGAUGCAUAGCCGACCUGAGAGGGGGAUCGGCCACAGUGGAACGGAGACACGGUCCAGGCUACUAAGGGAGGGAGCAGUCGGGUAUGGUCCGCAAUGGGCGAAAGCAUGACGGAGCAACGCCGCGUGAGUGAUGAAGGUCUUCGGAUCGGAAAACUCUGUUAUUAGGGAAGAACAUAUGUGUAAGUAACUGUGCACAGCUUGACGGUACCUAAUCAGAAAGCCACGGCUAACUACGUG